Long non-coding RNA from Saccostrea cuccullata (small rock oyster), 475 nucleotides. RefSeq lists it as uncharacterized. Lineage: Eukaryota; Metazoa; Mollusca; Bivalvia; Ostreida; Ostreidae. The transcript is spliced from 4 exons. The record is from RefSeq and is a predicted model, not a curated record.
GGAAUGCCGAACGUCACAAAUUACGUCAUCAUGCGGAUUAGAAACAGACUAGAAAGAGCAAAAUAUUUUCAACUGCAUAUUUGCUGUAUUUGCAUGGCACUCCAUUAUACCACACUGAUGGCUUCUCCAAGAUUAUGAAUAUGAUACAUGUAAACAGUGAGCUUUCGCUGAUGGACACAAAUUGUUCAGAAAAAAUCCAGCUACCACAUUAAUCACAGCCAUAGAUUUCUGGCGUGCCUUCAGUAGGAACAUAGAUGCAAUGAUGAAACAAUCUCCAGACAGAUGGGUGGCCCUUGAGCAGAGAAUGUUAAAAAGAAUUGAAGCAUUCAAUAAAGGAGAUUAAGAAACAGAAUGUGUCCAGUUGUUUGUUCAUCAAAAGAAUAACUUGGAUAAUCAUAGUGGUGCUUCCUCAAAAUCUGCAUGUGUUAAAAUUAAGCAGUUUCAUAUUAAGAUUUUGAUAAAGCUCAUUAAGUCA